RNAcentral lists this ribosomal RNA (398 nucleotides) under uncultured beta proteobacterium. RNAcentral's name for it is "bacterial SSU rRNA". It matches the Rfam family "Bacterial small subunit ribosomal RNA", at positions 9 to 416 of the family's 1533-position model. The record is from RNAcentral. Lineage: Bacteria; Pseudomonadati; Pseudomonadota; Betaproteobacteria.
GAGUUUGAUCCUGGCUCAGAUUGAACGCUGGCGGCAUGCCUUACACAUGCAAGUCGAACGGUAACAGGUUAAGCUGACGAGUGGCGAACGGGUGAGUAAUGUAUCGGAACGUGCCCAGUCGUGGGGGAUAACUGCUCGAAAGAGCAGCUAAUACCGCAUACGACCUGAGGGUGAAAGCGGGGGACCGUAAGGCCUCGCGCGAUUGGAGCGGCCGAUAUCAGAUUAGGUAGUUGGUGGGGUAAAGGCCCACCAAGCCGACGAUCUGUAGCUGGUCUGAGAGGACGACCAGCCACACUGGGACUGAGACACGGCCCAGACUCCUACGGGAGGCAGCAGUGGGGAAUUUUGGACAAUGGACGCAAGUCUGAUCCAGCCAUGCCGCGUGCGGGAAGAAGGCC